Papio anubis (olive baboon) is the source of this 106-nucleotide small nuclear RNA. The record is from Ensembl. Lineage: Eukaryota; Metazoa; Chordata; Mammalia; Primates; Cercopithecidae.
GUGCUCACUUCGGCAGCAUAUAUACUAAAAUUGGAAUGAUACAGAGAAGAUUAGCAUGGCCCCUGUGCAAGAUGACAUGCAAAUUCGUAAAGUGUUCCAUUAAAAA